This 120-nucleotide ribosomal RNA is filed under the name uncultured bacterium. Its description in RNAcentral is "partial 16S ribosomal RNA". It matches the Rfam family "Bacterial small subunit ribosomal RNA", at positions 29 to 147 of the family's 1533-position model. The record is from RNAcentral.
AAUGAACGCUGGCGGCGUGCCUAACACAUGCAAGUCGCGCGCGAAAGGGGCUUCGGCUCCGAGUAGAGCGGCGGACGGGUGAGUAACACGUGGGUAAUCUGUCUGGGAGCGGGGAACAAC